RNAcentral lists this transfer RNA (75 nucleotides) under Syntrophomonadaceae bacterium. Its description in RNAcentral is "tRNA-Val". It matches the Rfam family "tRNA". Rfam says of the family: Transfer RNA (tRNA) molecules are approximately 80 nucleotides in length. Lineage: Bacteria; Bacillati; Bacillota; Clostridia; Eubacteriales; Syntrophomonadaceae. The record is from RNAcentral.
GGGUGCUUAGCUCAGGGGGAGAGCACUUCCUUGACGCGGAAGGGGCCAUAGGUUCGAAUCCUAUAGCACCCACCA